UACGUAGGGUGCAAGCGUUGUCCGGAAUUAUUGGGCGUAAAGAGCUCGUAGGCGGUCUGUCGCGUCUGCUGUGAAAACCUAGGGCUUAACUCUGGGCGUGCGGUGGGUACGGGCAGGCUAGAGUGCGGUAGGGGAGACUGGAAUUCCUGGUGUAGCGGUGAAAUGCGCAGAUAUCAGGAGGAACACCGGUGGCGAAGGCGGGUCUCUGGGCCGUAACUGACGCUGAGGAGCGAAAGCGUGGGGAGCAAACAGG
This 253-nucleotide ribosomal RNA is filed under the name uncultured bacterium. RNAcentral describes it as "partial 16S ribosomal RNA". It matches the Rfam family "Bacterial small subunit ribosomal RNA", at positions 524 to 776 of the family's 1533-position model. The record is from RNAcentral.